UACGUAGGUGGCAAGCGGUGUCCGGAAUUAUUGGGCGUAAAGCGCGCGCAGGCGGUCCUUUAAGUCUGAUGUGAAAGCCCCCGGCUCAACCGUGGAGGGUCAUUGGAAACUGGAAGACUUGAAUGCAGAAGAGGAAAGUGGAAUUCCAUGUGUAGCGGUGAAAUGCGUAGAGAUCGGGAGGAAUACCAGUGGCGAAGGCGACUUUCUGGUCUGUAACUGACGCUGAGGCGCGAAAGCGUGGGGAGCAAACAGG
This 253-nucleotide unclassified non-coding RNA is filed under the name uncultured Caryophanaceae bacterium. Its description in RNAcentral is "uncultured Planococcaceae bacterium contains 16S-23S intergenic spacer region". It matches the Rfam family "Bacterial small subunit ribosomal RNA", at positions 524 to 776 of the family's 1533-position model. Lineage: Bacteria; Bacillati; Bacillota; Bacilli; Caryophanales; Caryophanaceae. The record is from RNAcentral.